GGCGUUAAAGGGUGCGUAGGCGGGUCUUUAAGUCAGGGGUGAAAUCCUGGAGCUCAACUCCAGAACUGCCUUUGAUACUGAAGAUCUUGAGUCCGGGAGAGGUGAGUGGAACUGCGAGUGUAGAGGCGAAAUUCGUAGAUAUUCGCAAGAACACCAGUGGCGAAGGCGGCUCACUGGCCCGGUACUGACGCUGAGGCACGAAAGCGUGGGGAGCAAACAGGAUUAGAUACCCUGGUAGUCCCACGCCGUAAACGAUGAAUGCCAGCCGUUAGUGGGUUUACUCACUAGUGGCGCAGCUAACGCUUUAAGCAUUCCGCCUGGGGAGUACGGUCGCAAGAUUAAAAACU
Molecule: ribosomal RNA, 347 nt
Filed under: uncultured bacterium
Lineage: Bacteria
Description: bacterial SSU rRNA
Rfam family: Bacterial small subunit ribosomal RNA
Source: RNAcentral